GAUGAACGCUGGCGGCGUGCUUAACACAUGCAAGUCGAACGGUGAACGAGGGAGCUUGCUCCCUCCGGAUCAGUGGCGAACGGGUGAGUAACACGUGAGCAAUCUGCCCUGGACUCUGGGAUAAGCGUUGGAAACGACGUCUAAUACCGGAUACGAGGCGUGGGGGCAUCCCCAACGCCUGGAAAGAACUUCGGUCCAGGAUGAGCUCGCGGCCUAUCAGCUAGUUGGUGAGGUAACGGCUCACCAAGGCGACGACGGGUAGCCGGCCUGAGAGGGUGACCGGCCACACUGGGACUGAGACACGGCCCAGACUCCUACGGGAGGCAGCAGUGGGGAAUAUUGCACAAUGGGCGCAAGCCUGAUGCAGCAACGCCGCGUGAGGGACGACGGCCUUCGGGUUGUAAACCUCUUUUAGCAGGGAAGAAGCGAAAGUGACGGUACCUGCAGAAAAAGCACCGGCUAACUACGUGCCAGCCGCCGCAGUAA
RNAcentral lists this ribosomal RNA (486 nucleotides) under uncultured bacterium. RNAcentral describes it as "partial 16S ribosomal RNA". It matches the Rfam family "Bacterial small subunit ribosomal RNA", at positions 28 to 523 of the family's 1533-position model. The record is from RNAcentral.